GAUGAACGCUGGCGGCGUGCCUAACACAUGCAAGUCGAACGGAAGGACCCUACGCUUGUGGCGUUCUCGAUUGCCGCACGCGGGAGUGUCACGUGUGGAACCCGCCCUUCUCUUUCGGGGAACAUCACGUAACAGCGGCUAAUAUCACAUAGGAUAUCCUGCACCGUGGUGUGCAGUGGAAAGUUUCGGCGUUUGGGGCUGGACUAGCGGCUUACGCGCUGUAUUGGCUGGUAGGUAAGGUCACGGCCUUUCAAGGCGACGAUGCGUAGCCGAGCGGAGAGGAUGAUCGGCGACAUGGGAACUGAGACACGGACCAGAGUCCUACGGGAGGCAGCAGUCGGGAAUGUGAGGCAAUGGGCGCAAGCCUGACACAGCGAGGCCGCGUGUGUGACGAAGGCCUUCGGUUCGUAAAGCCCGGCUUUUGGGUGAGAACAGCUGUAGCCUGAGACGAGGCGAUCGUGACGGUACUUAAUAAAGAAGCACCGGCUAACUACGUG
RNAcentral lists this ribosomal RNA (497 nucleotides) under uncultured bacterium. Its description in RNAcentral is "partial 16S ribosomal RNA". It matches the Rfam family "Bacterial small subunit ribosomal RNA", at positions 28 to 507 of the family's 1533-position model. The record is from RNAcentral.